UAGGGAAUCUUCGGCAAUGGGGGCAACCCUGACCGAGCAACGCCGCGUGAGUGAAGAAGGUUUUCGGAUCGUAAAGCUCUGUUGUAAGUCAAGAACGAGUGUGAGAGUGGAAAGUUCACACUGUGACGGUAGCUUACCAGAAAGGGACGGCUAACUACGUGCCAGCAGCCGCGGUAAUACGUAGGUCCCGAGCGUUGUCCGGAUUUAUUGGGCGUAAAGCGAGCGCGGGCGGUUUGAUAAGUCUGAAGUUAAAGGCUGUGGCUCAACCAUAGUUCGCUUUGGAAACUGUCAAACUUGAGUGCAGAAGGGGAGAGUGGAAUUCCAUGUGUAGCGGUGAAAUGCGUAGAUAUAUGGAGGAACACCGGUGGCGAAAGCGGCUCUCUGGUCUGUAACUGACGCUGAGGCUCGAAAGCGUGGGGAGCGAACAGGAUUAGAUACCCUGGUAGUCCACGCCGUAACGAUGAGUGCUAGGUGUUGGGUCCUUUCCGGGAUUCAGUGCCGCAGCUAACGCAUUAAGCACUCCGCCUGGGGAGUACGACCGCAAGGUU
Molecule: ribosomal RNA, 548 nt
Filed under: uncultured bacterium
Lineage: Bacteria
Description: bacterial SSU rRNA
Rfam family: Bacterial small subunit ribosomal RNA
Source: RNAcentral